Molecule: non-coding RNA, 73 nt
Organism: Acanthoscelides obtectus
Lineage: Eukaryota; Metazoa; Arthropoda; Insecta; Coleoptera; Chrysomelidae
Source: the annotation of a GenBank genome assembly
GGUACUGUAGACUAAUUGGCCAUGUCGGAUCCACGGAAUGGAGAAAAUGCGGGUUCGAAUCCCACCGGUGCCC